GAGCCGGUAGCAUAGCCUGGAUAAUGCGCAAGCCUCCUAAGCUUGAGAUCCAGGGUUCGAAUCCCUGUCGGCUCG
RNAcentral lists this transfer RNA (75 nucleotides) under archaeon. RNAcentral describes it as "tRNA-Arg". It matches the Rfam family "tRNA". From Rfam's summary of the family: Transfer RNA (tRNA) molecules are approximately 80 nucleotides in length. Their secondary structure includes four short double-helical elements and three loops (D, anti-codon, and T loops). Further hydrogen bonds mediate the characteristic L-shaped molecular structure. tRNAs have two regions of fundamental functional importance: the anti-codon, which is responsible for specific mRNA codon recognition, and the 3' end, to which the tRNAs corresponding amino acid is attached (by aminoacyl-tRNA synthetases). tRNAs cope with the degeneracy of the genetic code in two manners: having more than one tRNA (with a specific anti-codon) for a particular amino acid; and 'wobble' base-pairing, i.e. permitting non-standard base-pairing at the 3rd anti-codon position. The record is from RNAcentral.